Roseovarius nanhaiticus is the source of this 95-nucleotide regulatory RNA element. It matches the Rfam family "L2-Alphaproteobacteria ribosomal protein leader". The record is from Rfam. Lineage: Bacteria; Pseudomonadati; Pseudomonadota; Alphaproteobacteria; Rhodobacterales; Roseobacteraceae.
GGGCACCUACGGGGGCCUAUACCAAUGGCGGGCCAAGCCCGCCCCACAUAGGCAGGGACCACACACCCUGUCGUUUGCUAAACGGAAGACAGAAA